GACGAACGCUGGCGGCGUGGAUUAGGCAUGCAAGUCGAACGGUAUCAUCCUUUCGGGGGUGAGAGAGUGGCGAACUGGUGAGUAACACGUAGGUUAUCUACCCUCAAGACGGGGACAACCCAGGGAAACUUGGGCUAAUACCGGAUGUGAGCAACUUUUAGUUGUUUGAAAGGUGGCGUAAGCUGUCGCUUGGGGAUGAGCCUGCGUCCUAUUAGUUAGUUGGUGAGGUAACGGCUCACCUAGGCAAUGAUAGGUAGGCGGCCUUAACGGGUGGUCGCCCACACUGGGAUUGAGAUACGGCCCAGACUCCUACGGGAGGCAGCAGUCGAGAAUAGUCUACAAUGGUCGGAAGACUGAUAGUGCGACGCCGCGUGAACGAUGAAUCCCUUCGGGGUGUAAAGUUCUUUUAUAUGUGAGCAGUGCUUCUUAUAUUAACAGUAUGGGGAGAGAGAUAUUAGCAUAUAGAAUAAGCAACGGACUAACUCCGUGCCAGCAGCCGACGGU
RNAcentral lists this ribosomal RNA (504 nucleotides) under uncultured bacterium. Its description in RNAcentral is "bacterial SSU rRNA". It matches the Rfam family "Bacterial small subunit ribosomal RNA", at positions 28 to 521 of the family's 1533-position model. The record is from RNAcentral.